This 475-nucleotide ribosomal RNA is filed under the name uncultured bacterium. RNAcentral describes it as "bacterial SSU rRNA". It matches the Rfam family "Bacterial small subunit ribosomal RNA", at positions 24 to 495 of the family's 1533-position model. The record is from RNAcentral.
UCAGGAUGAACGCUAGCGGCAGGCUUAACACAUGCAAGUCGAGGGGUAACGACACUUUCGGGUGGUCGACGACCGGCGCACGGGUGCGUAACGCGUAUGCAACCUACCUAUAACAGGAGGAUAGCCCCGAGAAAUCGGGAUUAAUACUCCAUAGUAAUCGAAUCAGGCAUCUGAAAUGAUUUAAAGUUCCGGCGGUUAUAGAUGGGCAUGCGUGACAUUAGUUAGUUGGUGAGGUAAUGGCUCACCAAGACAUCGAUGUCUAGGGGGUCUGAGAGGAUGAUCCCCCACACUGGUACUGAGACACGGACCAGACUCCUACGGGAGGCAGCAGUGAGGAAUAUUGGUCAAUGGACGCAAGUCUGAACCAGCCAUGCCGCGUGCAGGAUGACGGCCCUAUGGGUUGUAAACUGCUUUUAUUAAGGAAUAAACUCUCGUUUCGUGAACGAGACUGAAGGUACUUAAAGAAUAAGCAUCG